Non-coding RNA from Ictidomys tridecemlineatus (thirteen-lined ground squirrel), 2299 nucleotides. The record is from RefSeq and is a predicted model, not a curated record. NCBI's taxonomy places the organism in Eukaryota, Metazoa, Chordata, Mammalia, Rodentia, Sciuridae.
GAAGAUUUUUAAAGAAUUCUUACUGUUGGAGUUCAAAAUAUUCUCAACUUCUCUUCUCAGUACUUUUAGGUGGGAUCUUUUGAGGUGUGAGAGGUAAUCCCGAAGGCGGAAAUCCUAGAGGCAGUGUUUAGGCUUAGAUAGGCUCCAGGCUCUUCUCUGAAUGCCAGUUGGUCUGAAGAUUUUAAAACAGUGCCCAAUACUUGCUGGCCCAUUCUGGAAGACUUUAUCCCAGGGAUCUUCCCUGGGUUCCACUAGAAUUUUGGGGGAGCCAAUUCUUAGUCCCCUGUGUCACCUGUGGACCCCAUGUUUCCUGGCUCAGUCUCCAAACAAUCUGUACUAUCCCCAUCCUUGUGAGUUCCUGGCCAGAUGUGUCUUUCCUAGGGGUCCUGCAAGCAGUCAGAUUGGAGGAGGAGGGGUAGAUCCAGCUGGGUUUCUGAGGCUACUUGUUUCCUGUGUAAACUUCUCUCCAUGUUUGAUUUUUCUUCUGGUCACUUAAGCACACUCUGUAUUUUGCAGGGUGUGUUUACUGGGCGUGUAUUUGAGACCAAACUCAGGUUUGUCAGGAAUAGGCUUCCUGAGCUGUGAGUCCCCAUACAGUGACUGCCAAAUGGUUCCUUCCUUUGUUUUCCACAGGCUGCCUGGAGUGAUGGUGGCUUCUUCCCCACACAUGGAUAUGGUGCUGCAUGUCUUUCAGAGGGACCUCUCUGGUUGGAGCUUCUGGACCCUCUGCAGCUACAGAUGUGCCACUGGGGAUUUCUUCUUUGUUUUAUUAUAUCCAACCUCCUAUGUACCUGGUCUACUUUGAAGGUCCAGUUUUAAGUUCCAUUAAGGUACCUGCCCCUCCCCCCUUUCUUUUUGUUAACCCACCUUGAAGAGAAGCUGCCCGUCUGCUUUCUUGGCUUUACAUCAAGGAGCAGCCAGGAAUGUGAACUCCUCUAUUCCACCAUCUUGGAUUAUAUACCAGAAAUAGCAGAAAGAACCCAAGUCCAAAUGCUGCUUCUGCCAUUUAAUCAUGAGGUGAACUUGGACAUUUCUGAAGUACCAAUGACUUUUGCAACUUGCACCCAUUUCUUCUUCUGAGAAAUGAGCAUAGUAGCUGGCACCUUCCUGGUGGGGCUAAAAUGGUAUCACUUAAGUCGUAGCACAGAAAAGGACCACACCCUAUGUAUGUACAGGAAUGGCACUAUGAAAGCUGGAUUUUUUUUCUCUUUUGCCCAUUAGGAAGCCUGCUUCUUUGGACAGGACCUGCCCCUGCAUACAGCAUUGUUUAGUUUUAGCUUCUGAACCUUGUCUCGGAAUCUCAUACAGGACGUCUGGGUUCUGCUAGUGCUUUUCUUGGUGGAGAGUCCUCUCUGACUCCAAAACAACCAAUUUUGAAGCCAUGAACAUUUCGGGGACUCGGAGCUGCAAAAUACACAACACACAGCGUUUUUUGAGAUCUAAUGAAGACUCUGUCAGGCCUGAUUUGGAUCUUUUUAAUGAGGGUCUGAUUGAAUUUACCAUCUCCACAACAGUUGUGGGUCUUUGGGGCCAGUCAAUGAGUUCCUUCCCUGUUCUGCACAGGGGCACCGAUGGCCUUGACUUGUCAGCACCAACAGUGGUGUGCCACAAGUUGUCAGGGGCCACACAUUUGGUGGAUGACUUACUAGGUCAUCUCAGAUAAGCCCGUUGAAUCUUUCUGUGUUUGGGGUUUUCCGUCUGAGAACACAGGAUCACACACACUGGGCUUCUCUGGAAAGUGCUCCGAGGGAGGACAGAGGUGUGCUGCCUAAGGGGCUCUUGUGAAAGAGCUUUGCCUCACUUCUCAUUAGAAAGAGUGUCAUCUUGAGGUGGUUUAGCAACUUUUUGGCAGGAUGGUCCGAGGAAAAGGACUUGCUGAAGAAACAUCAGAGCCAAAGGAAGGGAGGGUCCUUCCUGGUAUUUCCUCUAUUUCCUAGUGGACUUCUCCAAGGGCUCAUGGCUACUGUUAUUUCUCUAGGAAAACCUGAAGUUGGAAGGACACCUUUUGUGAGUCCCGAAUUAAAUGUAGCCACAAUUGAAAAAAGACGUUUCUAUGUGCUCAGCUUCAAAUCAUCAAUGAUCAACAACCUCUUGGUGGUGGUUUGGUUCUUUCGCUCCGAGGAGACGACUUCAGUGUGGAAGGUGGCCCUGUAGCUGCUUGUCAUUCAGAGCACAUAAACAAUGGUGCCCGUGUUGCCAGUCCUUGGAGUUCUGGAGGGGAAAGCACUUGGCACAACUCAAAGACCUGAACUCAUAAACAGGGAGCAGAAGAAAAUAGAGGUUGCUGUUAAAGACACAG